GAAAAUUUCAGCAUUACCAUUUUUUGUUUCUAGAGAUGACUUGGACCAAUUAGGGUCACAUGUAGAGAUAUCCCUGUAAUUUUGUUAUUUCUUUUUAAACUUUAGGUACACAAUUUUGAUAAUGCCCUGCACUGGUACUGUUAUUCUCUGAGAUUUUAUGCAGCUGAUCAAUCUGAUCUGGACUUGGCCAAGCUACAGAGGAACAUGGCUUCUUGUUACCUGCAUUUGGGACGAUUUGAUAAGGCUAAAGAGGCAGUUAUCAAAGCUGCACAACGUGAUCCUAGAAAUAUUUUCACUCAGUUUUAUAUAUUCAAGAUUUCAAUCGUGGAGGGCAACUCUGGCAGAGGUAUAAAUGUUAGUUAUAAGUUAUAUUUGUCUAUUAACACAAAGAAUAAUCAUCUUUGACCAUAAAAGGAAAAAGUAGUCUUUAAGACAAUGGAGUUGGAUAUAUAUAUA
This 456-nucleotide long non-coding RNA is filed under the name Capra hircus (goat). Its description in RNAcentral is "lncRNA (ENSCHIG00000004165.1)". Lineage: Eukaryota; Metazoa; Chordata; Mammalia; Artiodactyla; Bovidae. The record is from RNAcentral.